AAAUUGAAGAGUUUGAUCAUGGCUCAGAUUGAACGCUGGCGGCAGGCCUAACACAUGCAAGUCGAACGGUAACAGGAAGCAGCUUGCUGCUUUGCUGACGAGUGGCGGACGGGUGAGUAAUGUCUGGGAAACUGCCUGAUGGAGGGGGAUAACUACUGGAAACGGUGGCUAAUACCGCAUAACGUCGCAAGACCAAAGAGGGGGACCUUCGGGCCUCUUGCCAUCAGAUGUGCCCAGAUGGGAUUAGCUAGUUGGUGAGGUAACGGCUCACCAAGGCGACGAUCCCUAGCUGGUCUGAGAGGAUGACCAGCCACACUGGAACUGAGACACGGUCCAGACUCCUACGGGAGGCAGCAGUGGGGAAUAUUGCACAAUGGGCGCAAGCCUGAUGCAGCCAUGCCGCGUGUAUGAAGAAGGCCUUCGGGUUGUAAAGUACUUUCAGCGGGGAGGAAGGUGUUGUGGUUAAUAACCGCAGCAAUUGACGUUACCCGCAGAAGAAGCACCGGCUAACUCCGUGCCAGCAGCCGCGGUAAUACGGAGGGUGCAAGCGUUAAUCGGAAUUACUGGGCGUAAAGCGCACGCAGGCGGUCUGUCAAGUCGGAUGUGAAAUCCCCGGGCUCAACCUGGGAACUGCAUUCGAAACUGGCAGGCUUGAGUCUUGUAGAGGGGGGUAGAAUUCCAGGUGUAGCGGUGAAAUGCGUAGAGAUCUGGAGGAAUACCGGUGGCGAAGGCGGCCCCCUGGACAAAGACUGACGCUCAGGUGCGAAAGCGUGGGGAGCAAACAGGAUUAGAUACCCUGGUAGUCCACGCCGUAAACGAUGUCUACUUGGAGGUUGUGCCCUUGAGGCGUGGCUUCCGGAGCUAACGCGUUAAGUAGACCGCCUGGGGAGUACGGCCGCAAGGUUAAAACUCAAAUGAAUUGACGGGGGCCCGCACAAGCGGUGGAGCAUGUGGUUUAAUUCGAUGCAACGCGAAGAACCUUACCUGGUCUUGACAUCCACAGAACUUUCCAGAGAUGGAUUGGUGCCUUCGGGAACUGUGAGACAGGUGCUGCAUGGCUGUCGUCAGCUCGUGUUGUGAAAUGUUGGGUUAAGUCCCGCAACGAGCGCAACCCUUAUCCUUUGUUGCCAGCGAUUAGGUCGGGAACUCAAAGGAGACUGCCAGUGAUAAACUGGAGGAAGGUGGGGAUGACGUCAAGUCAUCAUGGCCCUUACGACCAGGGCUACACACGUGCUACAAUGGCGCAUACAAAGAGAAGCGACCUCGCGAGAGCAAGCGGACCUCAUAAAGUGCGUCGUAGUCCGGAUUGGAGUCUGCAACUCGACUCCAUGAAGUCGGAAUCGCUAGUAAUCGUGGAUCAGAAUGCCACGGUGAAUACGUUCCCGGGCCUUGUACACACCGCCCGUCACACCAUGGGAGUGGGUUGCAAAAGAAGUAGGUAGCUUAACCUUCGGGAGGGCGCUUACCACUUUGUGAUUCAUGACUGGGGUGAAGUCGUAACAAGGUAACCGUAGGGGAACCUGCGGUUGGAUCACCUCCUUA
This 1542-nucleotide ribosomal RNA is filed under the name Salmonella enterica subsp. enterica serovar Muenchen. Its description in RNAcentral is "bacterial SSU rRNA". It matches the Rfam family "Bacterial small subunit ribosomal RNA". RNAcentral also lists the same sequence under 39 other names. Lineage: Bacteria; Pseudomonadati; Pseudomonadota; Gammaproteobacteria; Enterobacterales; Enterobacteriaceae. The record is from RNAcentral.